GAUGAACGCCGGCGGCGUGCCUAAUACAUGCAAGUCGAGCGAACGGACGAGAAGCUUGCUUCUCUGAUGUUAGCGGCGGACGGGUGAGUAACACGUGGAUAACCUACCUAUAAGACUGGGAUAACUUCGGGAAACCGGAGCUAAUACCGGAUAAUAUUUUGAACCGCAUGGUUCAAAAGUGAAAGACGGUCUUGCUGUCACUUAUAGAUGGAUCCGCGCUGCAUUAGCUAGUUGGUAAGGUAACGGCUUACCAAGGCAACGAUGCAUAGCCGACCUGAGAGGGUGAUCGGCCACACUGGAACUGAGACACGGUCCAGACUCCUACGGGAGGCAGCAGUAGGGAAUCUUCCGCAAUGGGCGAAAGCCUGACGGGGCAACGCCGCGUGAGUGAUGAAGGUCUUCGGAUCGUAAAACUCUGUUAUUAGGGAAGAACAUAUGUGUAAGUAACUGUGCACAUCUUGACGGUACCUAAUCAGAAAGCCACGGCUAACUACGUG
Molecule: ribosomal RNA, 497 nt
Filed under: uncultured bacterium
Lineage: Bacteria
Description: partial 16S ribosomal RNA
Rfam family: Bacterial small subunit ribosomal RNA
Source: RNAcentral